AUAUUCCAAAAAAGACAAAACUCACACGCCCUUCUCUAAAUCGUCUUCCUCUUCGACCCUCACUCCGCCGACCAGACCAUUAGACGAACAACCACCGUCGAUCUCUGAAAAUGUCGUCGACCGUCUCCCAAUGUUGUCUAUCACUGCAAAUCGUCGCCCAAUGUCCAUCUUUGGAACCAAACGCCCGCCGUCGACGUUGGAGACAUUUACUAAGGUACGUUUAAGUUGUAUUUGAAGUCAUUAGAGCCAUUGAAGGCUUUGGUGAUUGAUGAAGCAGCACAGUUGAAAGAGUGUGAGUGUGUUAUUCCAAUGCAACUGGCUGACAUAAAGCAUGCAAUCCUCAUAGGUGAUGAGUGCCAAUUGCCAGCAUUGGUUUAGAGCAAUAAUGCAUCCAUCCAUCAGCCUUUUCCCAAACUCAAAAUUCUACUCAAGUCAGAUCUCAGAUGGUCCUAAUGUCAAACCUAAAGCCUAUGAAAAGACGUUUAUUCUCGGACCGAUGUUCGGUUCGUAUUCUUUCAUAAACAUAAAUGGUGCACGAGAAGAAAAGGAUGAAAUUGGACACAGUUUGAAAAACAUGGUAGAGGUUGAUGUUGUGCUCAAAAUUGUUCAUUCUUUGUCUCAAGCAUGUGUUGACUCAAAAGGAAAGAUGAGCAUUGGUGUAGUGUCCCCAUAUUCAGCUCAAGUCGUUACCAUUCAACGCAAAAUUGGGAAGAAGUACAAUUGUAAUGGAUUUAAUGUGAAGGUGAGUUCAGUUGAUGGCUUUCAAGGAGGGGAGGAAGAUAUCAUUAUUAUUUCCACUGUUCCGUGUAAUACAGGAUCGUCCAUCUGGUUUUUGUUGAGUAAUCAAAGAACAAAUGUCGCACUUACAAGAGCUAGGUAGCUGCUUUCUAGUUUAUAGUAGGUACUGUUUGUGGACAUUGGGAAACUUCAAAACACUGUCAAAGAGUAACUCGGUUUGGGAAGAGUUGGUUAUGGAUGCCAAGAAUCGUGGCUGUUUCUUCAAUGCUAAUGCCAAUGCCAUAACCAAAGACAUCCAACAGAUAGUUCCACUACUGGAUUAUUUCAACUCCAAUGAUGAAGGAAGAAGCUUGGAGAUAAUGGAGGGAAAGAACGUAGAAGAUCAUGAAUCCAAGGCCAAGAGGCUGUUGCAGUUGUUGUGGUAAGAUUAACUUCAUAAAAAAUGGAGAAGGAGGUAUUCUUAAAUGCUUAUAUCCCUAAAAAUGACUUCAACACUUCUAUUUAUGAAUUUCAUGAAGCCACUGGGCUGAUUUUAAAUUGCUAGGAUGAUCAACCUGCUGGGGAAGGUAACAUUAAUCUUCUUUUGUUUACAUUUGAACUACUCAAAUUUCUAUCACAUAAAAAUUAUCAUUCAUGAACAUAAUAAAGUGGAUUUUAAAGAUGUAGAAAAUGACUUUUGUUUAGUGUUUGAUUGAACGGAAAAUUUUGGGUAAAGUUCUUUCUUGUAAUAUUUUUGUACUUUGGUUUUAAUUUUUUUUAUGUGAGGAAUGCUCUUCCUUCCUUAUUCUCAAUUUUUGUCUAUAUCAUAUUUUUGUUUUCCUUAGUAUUUGAACAUUUUUGUAUUCGUAGCAACCUAACUUUGUUGUUUCUCUUAGUUUGGUUGUGAUUUGAGUAUUUUAUAUUUGGGGUUCAGGAAAGACAGUAUUUGUUGAAGGAAUUCCCCGUGAACUGGUUUCUUGUAAGAAGUAUUGUAAAGUUUUGAAGGUUGGGUUGUGGUAAUGGAAGCACCGUUAUUCCAAUCUUGUUGUAACCUCCAACCAAGCUAAUUUUAAAGGUGUCAAGUGUAUUUUGAUUUUGGGGAAGAAUUCAGAUGACAAAAGCAUCAAGAAGUCAAUCGUCGGUCUGAAAAGUUAGUGAUAAACAUCCAGGUUGGAUAUGCUUCAGCUAAGUUAAAGUUACGAUUCAGAUGGUCGUAUCAGGUUCAACUGGAGUCGACAACUUCAUGAGUUUACUUUUAAAGAACAUUUUUAGAGACGAACGUUCUCGGUUGGUCGUUUAUGUUUUAGCAGAAAAUCUUGUUAUAUAUAUUCUGAUGCUAUUUAAAAUAUUUUUUGAUUAAGAGCUAGAAUUCCGUACUUGUAAAUUGUUGGAAGUUGAUUGGAAAUAUACGAAUAUUAUAAAUUGUAUUAUAGCGUAUAUAUAUUAAAGUGUCCGCUAUUUUUUACUA
Molecule: RNA transcript, 2185 nt
Organism: Cucumis sativus (cucumber)
Lineage: Eukaryota; Viridiplantae; Streptophyta; Magnoliopsida; Cucurbitales; Cucurbitaceae
Gene name: helicase sen1
Exons: 8
Source: RefSeq, a predicted model, not a curated record